CGUCGGGAAGUCAUGGAGACAAAUGAUGCAUGAUUAUGUGCUUUUAUGUACUGUACACGGCUGUCAAAAUCAAACACUGUAUACGCAUGAUGGGCAUGGACGUCCGUGUCUGAAAAGAAGCAGAGGUCAAAUCAAUGGAGGAAUAAAUAAAUAUUCCCAGAACCAGAGCUGCUGAGAGGACUGUUUCAGAUGGAGACACUGAUCAUAUCUUCACUGCAUUCUGGCCUGAGGCUGCUUCCACUUCCUCUGAACUCUCGAAGCUUCUGUCUUCAUAUCCCGGCUAUGGAGGCCAUUAGUAAUCCGUCAUGCCUCUUUGAGGCCACUCUCAUGGAACAGCUUGUGGGGUCCACAUGGCAAUGGGCGUGGAUGGAUUGGUGAGAGGAUAA
Long non-coding RNA from Phycodurus eques (leafy seadragon), 386 nucleotides. RefSeq lists it as uncharacterized. The transcript has 3 exons. The record is from RefSeq and is a predicted model, not a curated record. Lineage: Eukaryota; Metazoa; Chordata; Actinopteri; Syngnathiformes; Syngnathidae.